Helianthus annuus (common sunflower) is the source of this 605-nucleotide long non-coding RNA. RefSeq lists it as uncharacterized. The record is from RefSeq and is a predicted model, not a curated record. The transcript has 5 exons. Lineage: Eukaryota; Viridiplantae; Streptophyta; Magnoliopsida; Asterales; Asteraceae.
GAGCUUGAGGACUGAAUCUUCCAACAUUCAGCUGGGUUCAAAAAUAUAUCAACUUUUCUAAAUAAAAAUACCAGUUUAUGUCCGUUGUUCGUUUUUUGGGUAGGUUCUUUUGAUCAAUAAAGUUUGGGGCUGAUAAAACCGAGAAAGAGAAGUUCCAACGAGAGGAAUGGUUCGGUCACAUGCUACGAUUCAGAAACGAUGCGAUUAUUACAUUGAGUAUUAUAUGCCUCCAACUUCCUUUUUAACUGGCGUAUGCACAUUUGUACGAGAUCAUUGGAUCCGAUAUCAUAAAAAACAAGAGAAAACGGGAAAAGGGAAUGGCAGCCAGAAUAUCUUAUUUUAAUUCUAGGGUUGAGAAGGAGUAUUUUAAGCCUCUAUAUUCCGCCAGUGUUGGUGAUGAACUCGAAGAUGGGCUCUUUGAUGUCAUGAAUGGAUUCAACCUGUGUAACUCAAGUUUCUAACUUGAUCUCCUCUUUGGCGUCAUAGUAGUUGGUGGGAUAAUGGGCUGGUACUGAAGAUGGAGCUACUAUUAUGCACAACAUGGUUGUUGAAGGGUCGUCAAGCGCUGGUUCCAUGAACAUAGUAGUUGGUACUAAUACUCGCAU